Molecule: RNase P RNA, 387 nt
Filed under: Amycolatopsis suaedae
Lineage: Bacteria; Bacillati; Actinomycetota; Actinomycetes; Pseudonocardiales; Pseudonocardiaceae
Description: Bacterial RNase P class A
Rfam family: Bacterial RNase P class A
About the family: Ribonuclease P (RNase P) is a ubiquitous endoribonuclease, found in archaea, bacteria and eukarya as well as chloroplasts and mitochondria. Its best characterised activity is the generation of mature 5'-ends of tRNAs by cleaving the 5'-leader elements of precursor-tRNAs. Cellular RNase Ps are ribonucleoproteins.
Source: Rfam by way of RNAcentral
CGAGCUGGCAGGGCGAUCGCGGGGCGUGAGCCUCGAGGAAAGUCCGGACUCCGCAGGGCAGGGUGGUUGCUAACGGCAACCCGGGGUGACCCGCGGGACAGUGCCACAGAAAACAGACCGCUCCCGCGCGAGCGGGGGUAAGGGUGAAACGGUGGUGUAAGAGACCACCAGCGCCCCGGGUGACCGGGGCGGCUUGGUAAACCCCACCCGGAGCAAGGUCAAGAGGGAGCGCGAGCUCCUGCGCAGGCGUUCGAGGGCGGCCCGCCCGAUGCCUGCGGGUAGACCGCUAGAGCCCGCCGGCGACGGCGGGCCCAGAUGGAUGGUCGCCCACCGCGCGGCCGCGAGGCGGCGUGGGGACAGGAUCCGGCUUACAUGCCAGCUCGUCCA